Molecule: long non-coding RNA, 2351 nt
Organism: Calidris pygmaea (Spoon-billed sandpiper)
Lineage: Eukaryota; Metazoa; Chordata; Aves; Charadriiformes; Scolopacidae
Source: Ensembl
AUGCUAAAAAGCCAACAGCAGAUCAUUGUCGAUUUGCAGCAAAAACUUGCUGAACAGCAGCAGAUAUUGGUUAGCCAGCAACGGGAGAUUCUUGAGCAGCAAAGAAAAAUGUAUGAGCAAAUGGAUCUGAUCAAAGUCCAGUAUGGCAUGCUUUUUGAUACAGUGAAACAAAUGUCAUUUCAGAGUUUGCAAGAAGAUAUUCAAAAUUAUUUUGAAAGUCAUCUUCAAGGACUUCAGAACCAGGUCAGAAAUCAUCUCCAGAAGUCAUACUCUGUGCAUAAAGUAGAAGUGGAUGCAAAAGUGAUUAAUGUUGGGGAGUCUUUGCUGGACUGUGGCCUUUGUGAAAGUGAUGAAUUUUGCAAUUUCCAAAAGACACCUUCACAAUGUGAAAAAUGCACAUUGUGUCCUGCUGGUUUUUUCCAAAUGGCUGAGUGUUCUGCAAACUCUGAUCGGAUUUGCCAGGACAGAGAUGAAUGCACCGAAUCUCCAAGCAUUUGUGGUGAGAGGAUAAAAUGCCUGAAUACUCCAGGUGGUUUCCGAUGCCUUGGAAUCGCUGAGAAAGAUGCAGCUUUGGGACUGUGUGGAGAGGAGUAUUUCUUUAAUAAGGAAAUGCAAGAAUGCCAGGCAUGUUUAAAAUGUGAAGAUGGAAUGGUGGCUGUGCCUUGCUCCACUGUCAGUGAUACGAUUUGUUCAGCAACCAGUGAAAGCAAGCUCUCAGAGUCUUGGGCUGCAAACAUCAUCCUGCCCUCGGUGAAGUCCAGCAUCUCUCAGGUCUACUCCGGCUUGAACUUGAAGAUAAAGGGAAAGCUUCCCUGUGAAAUCCUAUCCGUUGAAGAUAACAGCCUGGUAUUUAGGCAACAUGGGCUGUUGUGGACUGACCUAAAUUUUGCAGUAAAGCACAACUGCAGGAAUUUUUUGCAACUUUCCUUAAAGCUAAACGGCAGUGAGGAAGGCUAUGAACUGAGCGGUGUUCGCAUUGAACAGCCAGAAGGGAAGUAUUUCCAGAGCACUAGUUUAAGUACUGCUGCUGAAGUGGAGCCCAGCCAAACUCUUUCUGUGUAUUUGAGGAGCCCCAAUCAAUUCUGCAACCAGAGUAAAGACUUAAAUAUUUAUGAUCUUAAUACCCCACUCAGUUUGUUUUGGUUGUCCCACGACACAGGUGCUGUGGCGCUCAGUGCACAGAUGUCAACAGCAAUACAUUACCAAACCAACUAUCGACCUACCUUUAAAAUAGUAUCCGUUUCCGACCCUUACAUGCUAAGUUUAUCUCAUGAUGGCAGAGCUAUAAAGUUCACUGAAACUGGUGUUGUCAAAUUUGUAUUCCACCAAGCAUUGUAUUCCAUGGGUCAUACGUGUGUCAGAGAGGGCUUCUCCUUAAUUUCUUAUAUCAAUAGGAAUGGCACCAACAGAGAAUUAAUGAAUGUAUUUAAAUCUGGCGUAAAUUACAGAGACACGUCAAUAUCUGCUGCCGGGGCCACAAAAGUUGGUGCUGGAGAUCUGAUUAGCUUUGAGAUACUUUCUCCUGCACAGUGUAAUGUUCGGUAUUUUGGAGAUAGUUCUGGAAUUAGUAUGUUUAGCCUCAUCUGGAUCCCUUCAGCAGUUUCUAGUGCCAUAUCAGCCACAGUUUCUGUUAUGGGUCUGCCUACUGGAGCUGUGAGAAACAAGUUACUGGAUUUCACCCAGGUCUCAUCCAAUGAGAAACAGAUACAGCUGGUUUCUUCUGGACAGCUUGCUCACAAGUAUUUCAUUUUUACUGAAAAGGGAGUUGCCAGCCUUGCAUUUAACUUAAAGCUAAUCCACUCAUGCAAUGUGCUCAAAAUGACUCUCAAUCAGUUGACCAGGGAUCACAUGCAGCCCACAGCGAUUGCUCAGCAGAUCGGAGGUCAGAUGCCAGAGGGAAGCAUAUGGACCAGUGUGUCCCUCCGUGCAUCUUUUGAAGUACAUAAUGGAACACUGAUAUCAGUUUCUCUUGACUGUGUGCGUGGAAGGAUCAAUCAGAUCACUCGUGAACAGGGAACCAGUAUAUCUAUAUUAUGGAUUUCAUCUUAAUUUAUGUACAGUGAGGGCAGCACAGAACUGGAGUUUAAAUUGCAUUUGGAUUCUACUCUGAUUCUACACGUAUUUGACACCUUAUACUGUGUUGACAUGAGCAGGUUGUCCCACUAAAAUGCUCUCAAUUUUAGGAAUAUUUAACUAUAAUCUUAAUUGAAUGAUCAGUAUUUAAAGAAAAGAGAGCUUUCGAUGUUCCAAGUUUUACUUCUUUUAACAUCUUCAGGAAGGGGAACUUUGCAUUCAGGUCAAACUCUCUUAUUUUUAAUAAAGCAGUCCCUUAAAAUGGGUUAUUUCUAGAC